UACGAAGGGGGCUAGCGUUGCUCGGAAUCACUGGGCGUAAAGGGUGCGUAGGCGGGUCUUUAAGUCAGGGGUGAAAUCCUGGAGCUCAACUCCAGAACUGCCUUUGAUACUGAGGAUCUUGAGUUCGGGAGAGGUGAGUGGAACUGCGAGUGUAGAGGUGAAAUUCGUAGAUAUUCGCAAGAACACCAGUGGCGAAGGCGGCUCACUGGCCCCGGUACUGACGCUGAGGUGGCG
This 234-nucleotide ribosomal RNA is filed under the name uncultured bacterium. RNAcentral describes it as "partial 16S ribosomal RNA". It matches the Rfam family "Bacterial small subunit ribosomal RNA", at positions 524 to 755 of the family's 1533-position model. The record is from RNAcentral.